GGUGGCUGCAGUAAAACAAACAUUUUGGAAAAUGUUAAAGGUCAGCUUAGUGAAGAGGUAGUGAUGGUCAGAAACUAACUGUGGUUGAGGAAAUUUGCACAAAUAUAAUAGCCGACUCCAUUACCAAGGAAUUCAAGAAUAUUUUCAGUUUGGAACAGUUAAACAUGUAAUUUUUUUAUUUGCUACAAAAUUACUUUUCUGGAAAAGAAAAGCCCUUCAUAUAUCAGUGAGAGUUAUCACAUUAAGAUAAUUAAGUGAAAAAGAUAAGUUGUGC
Non-coding RNA from Pelobates cultripes (western spadefoot toad), 274 nucleotides. The record is from the annotation of a GenBank genome assembly. Lineage: Eukaryota; Metazoa; Chordata; Amphibia; Anura; Pelobatidae.